This 653-nucleotide ribosomal RNA is filed under the name Pseudohormius turkmenus. RNAcentral's name for it is "partial 28S ribosomal RNA". It matches the Rfam family "Eukaryotic large subunit ribosomal RNA", at positions 386 to 810 of the family's 3401-position model. Lineage: Eukaryota; Metazoa; Arthropoda; Insecta; Hymenoptera; Braconidae. The record is from RNAcentral.
CCUGAGAAACCCAAAAGAUCGAAUGGGGAGAUUCAUCGUCAGCUCAUUUUGUAUAUGCAUGAGUUGUGAUGCGAGUUACUACUUGUAGUAUUGCUUGCACAUUCUUAUACAUUUAGUUGCAAGAUGUUGCCGGCGUGCACUUCUCCCCUAGUAGAACGUCGCGACCCGUUGAGUGUUGAUCUACGACCCAAGAUGAAGCCUUUGAUGUAUUUUGUCAAAGAAAUAUAUUGAAGACACUUGGUGUUUUCUGAUCAGCUGCUCGGCGGUAUUCAUAUGGUAUUAAGCCGCAUAUUUAAAUAUGCGUUCAUUCCCGUCACAAGCGCGGCCAAUUUCUGAUAGUAUGGACCUAGUGCCAUCGUUAGUAUUGGUCAGCUGUUGGUUGUACGGUGUUCUGGAACUGGCUUAAAUUAAUUACCGGUCAGCGAUGCUUUUGCUUUGGGUACUUUCAGGACCCGUCUUGAAACACGGACCAAGGAGUCUAACAUGUACGCAAGUCAUUGGGAUUUUUAAAAAAUUAAACCUAAAGGCGUAAUGAAAGUAAAGGUUGACCUUGCGUUAACUAAGGGAAGAUGGGUUGUAUUAAGAUGCAGCUCCGCAUUCCCGGGGCAUCUCAUUCUUAUUGCAAGAAGAGGUGCACCUAGAGCGUACACGUU